AAAACACAUUGGAUCUGGAGUCCAGGCUCUUGAAAACAUUGACAAGAAAAUGGACUCUUGAUUCAAUCAGAUUUAAGCUUAAAUCAAAAGAGAAUCCGCUCAAAUUAAGAGGCUUGGUUCUUGAUUUAAGCUUAAAUCUGAUUGAAUCAAGAGUAUUUUUUCUUGUCGAUGUUUCUGAGAGUCUGGACUCUGGAUCCAAUGUGUUUUUUUUCCAGUGUAGAGAUAAAACUCUCAGUCGCGUAAUCGGCGUGAUCCGUGACGGUCGUUCCUGCGCUCGUCUGCUCUCUCUAAUCUCAACUCCUAUCUAAUCUAGUACUGAGUGUAUCCUAAAAUCAUUGUGCCAAAUCGUGCUCCAAGCAACUUUAGGACAUGUGAUAAGUGUAUUGUGACCAACUCCCUGGUGCCCACGUCGGUGUGGCACCAUGGACAAACACGUGAUAAGGCUACAAUCAGGUGAAAUUCCUCAGCCUCACCUUGAAAACAUCACAAGUGAACAAACUUUAAAUCAAAUUCCAUCUACUAACUCUAAUUGUAUAAACUAUAAUGAGGUACUUUUAGAAGCAAACAAAGCUAUUGCUACCCUUAUACCUACAGAUAACUUAGGAAAUGACACUGUAAAAGUACUUCUUGAUUAUAAAAAUCUCACAAACAAACUAUCUAAUGCUCUUCAGAAAUCAAUUGAUGAGACAAAUAAUUUUAGACACGAACUUAUAUCAGUUAAAGCUGAUCAAGCUAAAAAAGAUGAAGAAACAGAUGCUAAAUUUAGAAUUCUGGAAGAAAAAAUUAACCUACUUCAAACUAAUCUCAACUCAAAUAUUAAUGCUAAUAAUUCCAAUAAUAGCAAUCCUAUGAACAGUGAAUCAACCUUAAAACCUACGUUAAAUGAUGAGGAGAAUAUGGACACAACUACAUUUGUAUUACCCGAUUCGGAUGAGGAAGAACGCAUAGUUGACAUUGAAACUCUGGCCUGGAAAACCAAGGUGAAAAGGAACAAAGGCGCCUCCAACCAGUCCAGGAAGGACAAACGUAAGAGGGAAGAUUCCGCAUCCCCUAACUCUAAACCUAUCACCAACAAUAAUUCUACCCCUGGUAAGAAAGUCAAAAUUAUUACCCAGCAUGAUUCAGAACCGAACAAGAAGAAACAGUCAACUUUAAUUCCUGGCUCAACACCUAAGGACGCACAAGCAGCUUUAAAGGAAAACCCGCCUCCGCCCAUUAAAAUCUGUAAUGUCGAGGAUGUCAACAAUUUACGUACUUUAAUUCAAAAUGUAAUUAAGGAUGACUCACAGUUUUCGCUGAAGGCGAUUACAACUGUGGGUACUAAAGCUGUAUGGAAAGUGAAUGUUAUGAAAGAAGAACAUUAUCGUGUAUUAACUAAAGAAUUAAAUAAAAACAAAGAAAUUUAUUGGUAUACUCACGAAAAUAAAAAUACACGUGACUUUAGAGUUAUGUGCAAAGGCAUGUCUCCUCAGACUUCGGAGGAGGAUAUUUUAGAUUCACUUAAGGGAAAAAAUUUCAAUGUUAUCAGUGUAG
RNAcentral lists this long non-coding RNA (1533 nucleotides) under Bemisia tabaci. RNAcentral's name for it is "lncRNA ENSSSA2NGG004052". Lineage: Eukaryota; Metazoa; Arthropoda; Insecta; Hemiptera; Aleyrodidae. The record is from RNAcentral.